GGCCCUAUAGCCCAAUUGGCAGAGGCAGCCGGCUUAAAACCGGCCAAGUGAGGGUUCGAGUCCCUCUGGGGCCA
RNAcentral lists this transfer RNA (74 nucleotides) under Bifidobacteriaceae bacterium. RNAcentral describes it as "tRNA-Leu". It matches the Rfam family "tRNA". From Rfam's summary of the family: Transfer RNA (tRNA) molecules are approximately 80 nucleotides in length. The record is from RNAcentral. Lineage: Bacteria; Bacillati; Actinomycetota; Actinomycetes; Bifidobacteriales; Bifidobacteriaceae.